UGGACCUCAGGACUGUUUCCUCCUUCUCCUCCCCCAAAGUAUUUUCCUGCAGGAGAGCACGUGGCCUCUGAGAAAGCGGCUAAAUCCAUCCAUUCGUUUUAGCAAAGACCGCCGAAAAUCCUGAGCGGGUGACAACUUCUAGGUGCCAGCAGCACAGACAGCGGCAGAACAGAUGGAACGACAGCACAGGGACGACUUCCCUUGGAUAGCAUGGGGAGGGCUUUUCAUUCGGUGCCCUUGGCCCUAAUGUCACUUGCGGAUGAGACAGCUGAGCCAGUGCCAAAGCAGGAUUGAUUGAAGAUGUGCCCUUGUGACAAGUCCACUGGUAAAAACACUUAAACUGGAACCCUUGCAAUUUGAAUUUUUGUCACCUGAUUGAAGUUUUGGUAAGUUCAGUAACUCACACAUUGGGCUGUGUUUCACUGCUUUCAUGCUUCACCUGUUCAGUCCUUCUCUAGCUACUGUGAACGCAAAUACAGGAGUAAAAACAGAACCAAGGAAGACAGAGGAGAGAUGGUUCAGAUUUGCUGAGACACCUCAGAUGCACCAAUGCACAAGAGGAAGAAGAAGAGCAGGGCUUCUGUGGAGUUGCAGCCAGAAAAAACAAACAGACAACGAGUGAAAACACCAAUACACGACACUUCUACAAAACAUAUGUCCACAAGCAUUGUUAAUCCCAGGUAAAUG
Long non-coding RNA from Columba livia (rock pigeon), 687 nucleotides. RefSeq lists it as uncharacterized. The record is from RefSeq and is a predicted model, not a curated record. NCBI's taxonomy places the organism in Eukaryota, Metazoa, Chordata, Aves, Columbiformes, Columbidae. The transcript is spliced from 3 exons.